This 422-nucleotide ribosomal RNA is filed under the name uncultured bacterium. RNAcentral describes it as "partial 16S ribosomal RNA". It matches the Rfam family "Bacterial small subunit ribosomal RNA", at positions 360 to 774 of the family's 1533-position model. The record is from RNAcentral.
AAUUUUUGAAAAUGGGGGAAACCCUGAUCCAGCCAUCCCGCGUGUGUGAUGAAGGCCACCGGGAUGUCAAGCACUUUUGCCAGGGAAGAAAUAGCAGGGGCUAAUAUCCUCUGUGAAUGACGGUACCUGUAGAAUAAGCACCGGCUAACUACGUGCCAGCAGCCGCGGUAAUACGUAGGGUGCAAGCGUUAAUCGGAAUUACUGGGCGUAAAGGGUACGCAGGCGGCUAGGAGAGAAAGAUGUGAAAUCCCAGGGCUCAACCUUGGAACUGCAUUUUCAACUACCCAGCUAGAGUAUGUCAGAGGGGGGUAGAAUUCCACGUGUAGCAGUGAAAUGCGUAGAGAUGUGGAGGAAUACCGAUGGCGAAGGCAGCCCCCUGGGAUAAUACUGACGCUCAGGUACGAAAGCGUGGGGAGCAAACA